This 516-nucleotide ribosomal RNA is filed under the name Cytospora nitschkeana. RNAcentral's name for it is "Valsa germanica partial large subunit ribosomal RNA". It matches the Rfam family "Eukaryotic large subunit ribosomal RNA", at positions 112 to 651 of the family's 3401-position model. The record is from RNAcentral. Lineage: Eukaryota; Fungi; Ascomycota; Sordariomycetes; Diaporthales; Cytosporaceae.
AAUUUGAAAGCUGGCUCCGGCCCGCAUUGUAAUUUGCAGAGGAUGCUUCUGGUGAGGUGCCUUCCGAGUUCCCUGGAACGGGACGCCAUAGAGGGUGAGAGCCCCGUAUGGAUGGACACCAAACCUGUGUGAAGCUCCUUCAACGAGUCGAGUAGUUUGGGAAUGCUGCUCUAAAUGGGAGGUAAAUCUCUUCUAAAGCUAAAUACCGGCCAGAGACCGAUAGCGCACAAGUAGAGUGAUCGAAAGAUGAAAAGCACCUUGAAAAGGGGGUUAAACAGUACGUGAAAUUGUUGAAAGGGAAGCGCUUGUGACCAGACUUGCGCCGGGCAGCUCAUCAGGGGUUCUCCCCUGUGCACUCUGCCCGGCUCAGGCCAGCAUCGGUUCUCGUGGGAGGAUAAGAACGGUUGGAACGUGGCCCCCCUCCGGGGGGGUGUUAUAGCCUACCGUACGAUACUCCCGUGGGGACCGAGGUUCGCGCUCCGCAAGGAUGCUGGCGUAAUGGUCAUCAGCGACCCG